Molecule: unclassified non-coding RNA, 399 nt
Filed under: soil metagenome
Description: partial contains 5.8S ribosomal RNA, internal transcribed spacer 2, and large subunit ribosomal RNA
Rfam family: 5.8S ribosomal RNA (bases 1-120)
Source: RNAcentral
GACGAAGAACGUAGCGAAAUGCGAUACUUGGUGUGAAUUGCAGAAUCCCAUGAACCAUCGAGUCUUUGAACGCAAGUUGCGCCCGAAGCCUCGGCUAAGGGCACGUCUGCCUGGGCGUCACGCAUCGCGUCUCCCCCAAACCGCCAAGGCGGAGGGGAAGGAAGAUGGCUUCCCGUGCCUCACCCGGCGCGGUUGGCCUAAAUUUGGAGCCCGCGGCACUUAGCUCACGCGGCGAUAGGUGGUGAACAAGGCCUUGGCCGUGCAAACAACCCGCUGCGAAGCUCUAUGUCACGUGCGCUCGUCGGACCCUUUGAAGUUGCCUUCGGUGACUUAAAACCUUUGCGACCCCAGGUCAGGCGGGGCUACCCGCUGAAUUUAAGCAUAUCAAUAAGCGGAGGA